GAUCCCACGCGGUGUCCAUCUUGUGAACUCCCCCAGGGCGGGAACGCAGCAAGGGUCAACGAGCUCUGACAGGUGCGUGGGGUCCC
Molecule: signal recognition particle RNA, 86 nt
Filed under: uncultured Corynebacterium sp.
Lineage: Bacteria; Bacillati; Actinomycetota; Actinomycetes; Mycobacteriales; Corynebacteriaceae
Description: Bacterial small signal recognition particle RNA
Rfam family: Bacterial small signal recognition particle RNA
About the family: The signal recognition particle (SRP) is a universally conserved ribonucleoprotein involved in the co-translational targeting of proteins to membranes.
Source: RNAcentral